RNAcentral lists this ribosomal RNA (1829 nucleotides) under human gut metagenome. Its description in RNAcentral is "bacterial LSU rRNA". It matches the Rfam family "Bacterial large subunit ribosomal RNA", at positions 1007 to 2925 of the family's 2925-position model. The record is from RNAcentral.
AUUGUCAAAAGGGAAACAGCCCAGACCUACAGCUAAGGUCCCAAAUGUAUGCUAAGUGGAAAACGAUGUGGAAUUGCGAAAACAACCAGGAUGUUGGCUUAGAAGCAGCCACUCAUUAAAAGAGUGCGUAAUAGCUCACUGGUCGAGUGAUUCUGCGCCGAAAAUUUAACGGGGCUAAACUAUACACCGAAGCUUAGGAUACCGCAAGGUAUGGUAGGAGAGCGUUCUGUACGGAGUGAAGUCGUAGCGAAAGCGGCGGUGGACUGUACAGAAGUGAGAAUGCCGGAAUAAGUAGCGAGAAUUAAGUGAGAAUCUUAAUGGCCGAAAGUCUAAGGUUUUUGGAGGAAGGUUCGUCCGCUCCAAGUAAGUCGGGAGCUAAGGUCAGGCCGAAAGGCGUAGCCGAUGCACAAACGGUUGAUAUUCCGUUACCGUCUACAAUUUAAACAAGGGGACACAUACAAAGCGUUUAACCCGGGCGAUGGUUGACCCGGGCGCAAGGGACUGAAAUUAUAGUAGGGAAGUAAAUGUGGCGUAUGGCGAGAAAAGCUUUGUGAAUAGAAGUAGACGCCCGUACCGCAAACCGACACAGGUGGACAGGAAGAGAAUUCUAAGGCCAGCGGGAGAAGGGUAGUUAAGGAACUCGGCAAAUUGACUCCGUAACUUCGGAAUAAGGAGUGCUCGAAAGAGCCGCAGAGAAUAGGCCCAGGCGACUGUUUAGCAAAAACACAGGUCUCUGCCAAAUCGAAAGAUGAAGUAUAGGGGCUGACACCUGCCCGGUGCCGGAAGGUUAAGAGGAGGAGUGCAAGCUCCGAAUUGAAGCCCCGGUAAACGGCGGCCGUAACUAUAACGGUCCUAAGGUAGCGAAAUUCCUUGUCGGGUAAGUUCCGACCCGCACGAAUGGUGUAAUGAUCUGGACACUGUCUCAACAACGCACCCGGCGAAAUUGUAGUACCGGUGAAGAUGCCGGUUACCCGCGGCAAGACGGAAAGACCCCAUGGAGCUUUACUGUAGCUUAGUAUUGGGUCUCGGUAUUUUAUGUACAGGAUAGGCGGGAGACUAGGAAGCAAGUACGCCAGUAUUUGUGGAGUCAUCCUUGGGAUACCGCUCUUAAAGUAUUGAGAUUCUAACCUGCGGCCAUGAAACUGGUCGGGGGACAUUGCUAGGUGGGCAGUUUGACUGGGGCGGUCGCCUCCAAAAGAGUAACGGAGGCGUUCAAAGGUUGGCUCAGCAUGGACGGAAACCAUGCCUUAGAGUGUAAACGCAUAAGCCAGCCUAACUGCGAGACUGACGGGUCGAGCAGUAACGAAAGUUGGAGUUAGUGAUCCGGCGGUAUGUGAGUGGAAAUGCCGUCGCUCAACGGAUAAAAGCUACCCUGGGGAUAACAGGCUGAUCUCCCCCAAGAGUCCACAUCGACGGGGAGGUUUGGCACCUCGAUGUCGGCUCAUCGCAUCCUGGGGCUGUAUUCGGUCCCAAGGGUUUGGCUGUUCGCCAAUUAAAGCGGUACGCGAGCUGGGUUCAGAACGUCGUGAGACAGUUCGGUCCCUAUCUGUCGUGGGCGCAGGAUAUUUGAGGAGCUCUGUCCUUAGUACGAGAGGACCGGGAUGGACGUACCUCUGGUGCACCAGUUGUCAUGCCAAUGGCACGGCUGGGCAGCUACGUACGGAACGGAUAAACGCUGAAAGCAUCUAAGCGUGAAGCCGACUCCAAGAUUAGAUAUCCCAUUGCAUAAGCAAGUAAGACCCCUUGAGGACUACGAGGUUGAUAGGCUGCGUGUGUAAGUGUCGUGAGGCAUUUAGCUUGGCAGUACUAAUAGGUCGAGGGCUUGACCA